Molecule: long non-coding RNA, 3462 nt
Organism: Daphnia pulex (common water flea)
Lineage: Eukaryota; Metazoa; Arthropoda; Branchiopoda; Diplostraca; Daphniidae
Exons: 2
Source: RefSeq, a predicted model, not a curated record
GCUGGAACGGUCGAACGUCUUGUGCAGGAAAUCCAUCAGGAUCUCCGUCAUCCGGUUGAGGAAUUCCCUCGUCUCCGGCUCGCUAUCACCGACAUGUGGCAGCAAAUCUACAACCACCAGAAAAAGAAAAAAUAACUUGGUCCAUCCUCCUCCUCCUCCGUGCUAGAUGCUGACAGAUGCUGCUGGAUGCCGUCGGCUGCCUCUGCGCUUGUGCCGCAAAAUCCUUCCCUCAAGAUGUUUGAAAUGGGAGGAGUUUGUGAGUGGAUUCCAACCAGUCACGCCAUCGAGAUCCUCCUCUACCCCCACCCAAGAAAGGCCGUGAGAUGAUGACGACGUCUGCAAUCGACCAAUCCUCUUUUCCAACCUCGUAACAAACAAACAAGAAACUGAGUCGAAAAUGAAUCCUGGAUCGAAGAAAUUUAUUGGCAACCCCAAUAAACCCAAUUUUGUAUUUCAGACAACUUUGAUUCAUCACCGACGGUCGUUUCAUUCCUCCCACGUGGGAUCCAAUAAUAACAGACGGGUUAGUAUAGUUUAGAUUUCUCCGUGAUUAAAUGUCGAUCGAUUGAAUAUUGAUAAAUCUCGGGCAUAGAUUUUUAUUCCGGCAUGUUGGAAACGUCGCACAUGUGCGGGGGUGUUGUAUUGUGGAUGCUGUACAAUUUUUAUGACUGGGCCGAUGGGAGGGAGGGUCUAUCUAUACCCGUGAGAGAGAAGGAGCUAACAUGCGUGAAACAGCUGGGCGUCAUCGCUCAGGAACAGCAGCAACUCAACCGUUUACAAUAUCACGAUAUCGUAUCUAAAACCUUCGCUACUUGCAUUUAAGACUUAUGGAAUUGCGCAGCAGAGAUCACCAGCGUCACCCCUCCCGCGUUACAUAUGGCGAGAGAUUUCAGGGUCCAAAUUCCAGGCACUAAACUAAUUAAUAUUCACGUUAUGGUACAUGGGUCCCUGCUUGUUCAAAUUGUUGAUGAUAUUUCUCUUCCAUUUGGAACCUGUCGUUCAAAUUCUUUUGUUAUUUUCCCCCUUCGUUCAGUUGUUGUUUCGUAGAAUAUUCUCGACUGUUUAAUUCGAAUAAUUUUUCUUCAUCUUUCUCGAGACGACUACGAACGUCAAGAUGUUAUUGCUGUUGCUGUAAUUGAUGUAUUGCGUCUGUUAAUAAUUUCUCCACGUAUAAGAGGAGGGCGGGAAGGAUACUGCGAGAUAUUUAAUCGAUCGGGAAAGAUCAAUUCAAACUAAAACCAAGCAAUAGAUGUUUUAUAAACAAGGGAGUUUAUUGGCUGGAUACAAAAUUUGGUGUAAUUCGUUUCAAGAUAACAUGUGAUUUUUCUCUUUGAUUCAGCGACGUCGGACCGGAACUAAUUCGCAAUUACACAAUACUCCUCCGUCGCCCGUCUUGCACAAAUCAGCGCAGACUUGGCCCCAGUCACGAGUUGUCGUUGUCGUCGCCACCGUAACCACUUCCGCACGGCCCUCUAAGAAUAAAAAAAAAUUUCAUUUUAAGCGAUGGAAAUUUGAAUCGUUUAAUGAAAUUUACCGAUGCUUCGGACUGCGAUGGAAUUGGCUUGCACCGAGACCAACAUGACCGACAUGAAAGCGACGAGGACGCAACAAACGGUCAGUUUCAUUUUUCAAUUUUCUCUUUUAGUUCUAAAAUUAGAUUAAGAAAUUUGAAAUUUUCGAUUGAAAUAUUUUUCAAUGGAAAUUAAAUUCGUACCUGAACGUUUUUUAAGCGAAAAUGUUGAGCGCGUACAGUCUGGAAUGAGUCAACAAUUGUAUUAAGAAUUGAUUCAGAAACUUGUGGACCUUUAUGACUUGACGUGUAAGAAUAGCGGGUACAACGUGAACUUUCAUAUCAGAACGAAAUCGAACGUCAUCGUUACCAAAUCUCCCGGCCGCAAAGAUUAGAAACGAGACGAUUUUAUAGCUACACUAAUAAUCUCUUCCAGCAGCUGAUAUCUUGUGUUCUAACCUUGAUAAUGAAUUAGGGGGGGUCUCUCCUUUUUGUUUGUCCGUUCCCGAUACACACAAACAAAAGUCAUUCAACAACAGUUGAAACGGAUUGCAAUCUACUGCGCAUUUGAACAUGUGUUACGUCGUGCACAUCGACGAGUAAUCCCGUCGCUAAGUAGCUAGGCCCCUACUUAAUUGUGUCGGUGAUAAAAAAAAGACUCUCGGCUCCUUUCCAAUUCUAAUCCGAAAUGGCGCCGUCGGGAUCAUCUGGAACGAAAUAAUAAAAAUAAAAUGAAAACUUGUAGAUGUCGAUCGAUUGUAAGAAAUCGAUUCUCAAAACAUUUCGCGGCUCUGCUGUUGAAAAGUUGAUUUUUAAGUCAAACGAAAAGUCGAUUUGCGAAUAUUUGAUUGAUUGCCGAGCGCAAGUGAACUAAUUCAACAGCUAAUUGGAUACUCGAGUUGGCAGCUGUUACGACGUCCAAGGAAUGAAUGCGCGUGGCAUGUCGAUUAUUAGUGGCGACCUCGAAACGCCAACGUGGGGAAUGCGCACCGAUCCGGGCACCACCCAAAAACACGUGCGGAAGCGAAUGCCGAAUAGACUGGAUGGUUGUUUUUGUUUGCGCCUCGUGUUUAUAAUUUGUUGCGAGUCAUCGUCAAGCAUUGUUGAUCUGCCAUCAAUCCUCUCUAUCUCUUUUGUUUUGUUGUUGUUGCCAUAAGAGUGUCUUCUUUUUUUCGUUAUUAAAAGAACACACAAAGUCUAGAAGCCAAAAAAGUUUGUGCGCGCGGCUAUUUCUAUUUCGCCACUUGAGGUUGUUUUCUAUAUUUGACCCUCGAGUGUUUGAAAUGUCCCAUCAUUCUUUUUCCUUUCGCUGGCCUCUUGGAACUCUUCCACCCGUAGGAAACGUCUAAUUUCGACUUGGCACGUCCGACUGAAGUCGUACCCGCUACCGUUUCGCUUCCUUCCUUCCGCCCCGAGUUGCGUCAUCGCACUCAAUUGAUCGCAUGAUGAAAUGAAUAUUCCUAGACAUUAAUAAUACUACCAACAAUCGGCCGUUUUUCUUUUUUCACGAUUAAAUGACUGCCAUCUGGCGGCUGAUGUUACCAACUAAGAAAAUUCGUCAAGUGGGGCAGCGUCCCUUUUUGUUUUAUCUUUUAAAAAAGAAACGGCCAGUGAACUUUGCGAUGAAUAUCUCGUUACUAAUGAAUUGCGUGUACACAGGAUGUUUGCUCCACAUGAUGUUGCCAAAUGUAAUAGAUCCGAUAGGUAGUUGAGGAAGCGCCAAAGUGUAUUGUGGAAUGUGCGGUAAUAUUAUGAUGAAAAAGGCACUGCAAUACACACCAGAGAGAUAAGAAUAUAGAUGUGGGGGUAGGAAAGAUGUUUUAGGGCUUUGUUAUUGGAUCAGAACAUAAGUACUAAUUAGAGAUGUUUUUUUGUUUUUUUUUACGAGGAAUUUAAUGAAUUUAUUAAAUCGAGAACUGGGGUAAUAUGAAAGUAUAAAAUAAGUCGUAUAA